This 458-nucleotide ribosomal RNA is filed under the name uncultured Methylomirabilota bacterium. RNAcentral's name for it is "bacterial SSU rRNA". It matches the Rfam family "Bacterial small subunit ribosomal RNA", at positions 977 to 1434 of the family's 1533-position model. The record is from RNAcentral. Lineage: Bacteria; Methylomirabilota (SeqCode).
GGGCUUGACAUCCCACGAACCUGCCAGAAACGGCGGGGUGCCGCAAGGAGCAGUGAGACAGGUGGUGCAUGGUUGUCGUCAGCUCGCGUCGUGAGAUGUUGGGUUAAGUCCCGCAACGAGCGCAACCCUUGUCUUCUGCUGCCAUCAGGUCAAGCUGGGCACUCUGAAGAGACUGCCGGUGAUAAACCGGAGGAAGGUGGGGAUGACGUCAAGUCAGCAUGGCCUUUAUGUCCGGGGCUACACACGUGCUACAAUGGCCGGUACAAACCGUCGCGAGCCCGCGAGGGGGAGCUAAUCGGAAAAAGCCGGUCUCAGUUCGGAUCGUAGGCUGCAACUCGCCUGCGUGAAGUUGGAAUCGCUAGUAAUCGCAGAUCAGCAGGCUGCGGUGAAUACGUUCCCGGGCCUUGUACACACCGCCCGUCACAUCACGAAAGCUGGCUGUACUCGAAGUCGCUGAG